RNAcentral lists this unclassified non-coding RNA (242 nucleotides) under Hevea brasiliensis (rubber tree). Lineage: Eukaryota; Viridiplantae; Streptophyta; Magnoliopsida; Malpighiales; Euphorbiaceae. The record is from RNAcentral.
GGGAGAUCUCGAGACGGGUUAGGCUGUUAUUGGCCAGAUUGAUCUGUUGGAGAGAAGGAAGGAGGAAGAACCAGGCCGGUAAGGUUCCGGCGAGGGAAUUUUCACUGAGUUCGAUUACUUCCAAUUGAUUCGAGUCGGAGAAGGAGGAUUUAUCCAAAUACCCAGAAAGGGAAUUUCGUUUUAACGCGAGUUCAAGCAAGUUAGAUGGGAGUUUAGGAAUGGAGCCGGUGAGUUGGUUGAAG